This 21-nucleotide microRNA is filed under the name Monodelphis domestica (gray short-tailed opossum). RNAcentral describes it as "mdo-miR-12365-5p". Lineage: Eukaryota; Metazoa; Chordata; Mammalia; Didelphimorphia; Didelphidae. The record is from miRBase by way of RNAcentral.
AUCAUAAUUUACCAACUUGUA